UCCAGACUCCUACGGGAGGCAGCAGUGGGGAAUAUUGCACAAUGGGGGGAACCCUGAUGCAGCGACGCCGCGUGAGUGAAGAAGUAUUUCGGUAUGUAAAGCUCUAUCAGCAGGGAAGAAGAUGACGGUACCUGACUAAGAAGCCCCGGCUAACUACGUGCCAGCAGCCGCGGUAAUACGUAGGGGGCAAGCGUUAUCCGGAUUUACUGGGUGUAAAGGGAGCGUAGACGGCAGGGCAAGUCUGGAGUGAAAGCCCGGGGCCCAACCCCGGGACUGCUUUGGAAACUGCCAUGCUGGAGUGCUGGAGAGGUAAGCGGAAUUCCUAGUGUAGCGGUGAAAUGCGUAGAUAUUAGGAGGAACACCAGUGGCGAAGGCGGCUUACUGGACAGUAACUGACGUUGAGGCUCGAAAGCGUGGGGAGCAAACAGGAUUAGAUACCCCUGUA
This 445-nucleotide ribosomal RNA is filed under the name uncultured bacterium. Its description in RNAcentral is "bacterial SSU rRNA". It matches the Rfam family "Bacterial small subunit ribosomal RNA", at positions 330 to 792 of the family's 1533-position model. The record is from RNAcentral.